This 1446-nucleotide ribosomal RNA is filed under the name Limosilactobacillus fermentum. RNAcentral's name for it is "bacterial SSU rRNA". It matches the Rfam family "Bacterial small subunit ribosomal RNA". The record is from RNAcentral. Lineage: Bacteria; Bacillati; Bacillota; Bacilli; Lactobacillales; Lactobacillaceae.
GCAAGUCGAACGCGUUGGCCCAAUUGAUUGAUGGUGCUUGCACCUGAUUGAUUUUGGUCGCCAACGAGUGGCGGACGGGUGAGUAACACGUAGGUAACCUGCCCAGAAGCGGGGGACAACAUUUGGAAACAGAUGCUAAUACCGCAUAACAGCGUUGUUCGCAUGAACAACGCUUAAAAGAUGGCUUCUCGCUAUCACUUCUGGAUGGACCUGCGGUGCAUUAGCUUGUUGGUGGGGUAACGGCCUACCAAGGCGAUGAUGCAUAGCCGAGUUGAGAGACUGAUCGGCCACAAUGGGACUGAGACACGGCCCAUACUCCUACGGGAGGCAGCAGUAGGGAAUCUUCCACAAUGGGCGCAAGCCUGAUGGAGCAACACCGCGUGAGUGAAGAAGGGUUUCGGCUCGUAAAGCUCUGUUGUUAAAGAAGAACACGUAUGAGAGUAACUGUUCAUACGUUGACGGUAUUUAACCAGAAAGUCACGGCUAACUACGUGCCAGCAGCCGCGGUAAUACGUAGGUGGCAAGCGUUAUCCGGAUUUAUUGGGCGUAAAGAGAGUGCAGGCGGUUUUCUAAGUCUGAUGUGAAAGCCUUCGGCUUAACCGGAGAAGUGCAUCGGAAACUGGAUAACUUGAGUGCAGAAGAGGGUAGUGGAACUCCAUGUGUAGCGGUGGAAUGCGUAGAUAUAUGGAAGAACACCAGUGGCGAAGGCGGCUACCUGGUCUGCAACUGACGCUGAGACUCGAAAGCAUGGGUAGCGAACAGGAUUAGAUACCCUGGUAGUCCAUGCCGUAAACGAUGAGUGCUAGGUGUUGGAGGGUUUCCGCCCUUCAGUGCCGGAGCUAACGCAUUAAGCACUCCGCCUGGGGAGUACGACCGCAAGGUUGAAACUCAAAGGAAUUGACGGGGGCCCGCACAAGCGGUGGAGCAUGUGGUUUAAUUCGAAGCUACGCGAAGAACCUUACCAGGUCUUGACAUCUUGCGCCAACCCUAGAGAUAGGGCGUUUCCUUCGGGAACGCAAUGACAGGUGGUGCAUGGUCGUCGUCAGCUCGUGUCGUGAGAUGUUGGGUUAAGUCCCGCAACGAGCGCAACCCUUGUUACUAGUUGCCAGCAUUAAGUUGGGCACUCUAGUGAGACUGCCGGUGACAAACCGGAGGAAGGUGGGGACGACGUCAGAUCAUCAUGCCCCUUAUGACCUGGGCUACACACGUGCUACAAUGGACGGUACAACGAGUCGCGAACUCGCGAGGGCAAGCAAAUCUCUUAAAACCGUUCUCAGUUCGGACUGCAGGCUGCAACUCGCCUGCACGAAGUCGGAAUCGCUAGUAAUCGCGGAUCAGCAUGCCGCGGUGAAUACGUUCCCGGGCCUUGUACACACCGCCCGUCACACCAUGAGAGUUUGUAACACCCAAAGUCGGUGGGGUAACCUUUAGGAGCCAGCCGCCUAA